UGUCGCUGCUCUGGGCAGGCUUGUAUAGGCUGUAACAGAGGAGAGGAAAGUCCGGGCAACGCAGGGCAUCCCGCUUCCUAACAGAAAGAGGUCCGUGAGGGUCUGUAGGUGCAGAAGAAAACAACCGCCUGUGUCUGAACACAGUUGAAGCUGCUUUGUUGAGGCUUGGGUAAGGGUGAGAAGGUGGGGUAAGAGCCCACCAGGCUAACAGUGAUGUUAGUGCUGUGUACUCCGGGAGUUGAAAGUUCAUGUAAACCGGCGAACAAAAAGAGAGGGCGGCCCGUCCGAGCCGGAGGGUAGAACGAUAGAAGACAGCGGUGACGCUGCCCGUAGAUAAAUGGCAGGCAGUCCCCCUUGGGGGAAUACAGAACCCGGCUUACAGGUUCACUGU
This 391-nucleotide RNase P RNA is filed under the name bovine gut metagenome. RNAcentral's name for it is "Bacterial RNase P class A". It matches the Rfam family "Bacterial RNase P class A". Rfam says of the family: Ribonuclease P (RNase P) is a ubiquitous endoribonuclease, found in archaea, bacteria and eukarya as well as chloroplasts and mitochondria. Its best characterised activity is the generation of mature 5'-ends of tRNAs by cleaving the 5'-leader elements of precursor-tRNAs. Cellular RNase Ps are ribonucleoproteins. The record is from RNAcentral.